UGCAACUCUCUGGAUGCAGCUAUCCAGACAAUUCUUUAUCCACCAAAUAGUCCACCCUUCAAAUCCAUAUAUCUCCUAUUUAGCGAUAAGGGUGUUGCAUGGGACUGUGUCAAAGGCUUUACAGAAUUCUAGGUAGAUGACAGUGGUCAGUCUUCCCUUGAAGUAUAUAUGAACAAACACAUGCAAACAGAGAUAAAUAACACUUGUAUUAAAAAAUCCAGAAUCAUUCUGAAGUUUUACUCGUAUAGUUUAAAGAAAAGCCACUGAAGUGAUAUGGGUGGAUGUUCCCUGAGACCUAAGGAAGAAGUGUCUCAACCAAUCAGCAAUAAUGCAAAGUAUCCCUGGCUUUUAGAAAGGAAUGCUACAGUGACACCAGUGGAUAUCAGUGAGCAUACUGCCAAUAUAAAUAUUGAAACUGAUAAAAAAAUCAUUUGUG
This is a long non-coding RNA of Cygnus olor (mute swan), 436 nucleotides long. RefSeq lists it as uncharacterized. Lineage: Eukaryota; Metazoa; Chordata; Aves; Anseriformes; Anatidae. The transcript has 4 exons. The record is from RefSeq and is a predicted model, not a curated record.